AUUGAACGCUGGCGGUAGGCUUAACACAUGCAAGUCGAGCGGAAACGAUGUAGCUUGCUACAGGCGUCGAGCGGCGGACGGGUGAGUAACGCGUAGGAACCUACCUAGUAGUUUGGGAUAGCCCAGAGAAAUUUGGAUUAAUACCGGAUACGCCCUACGGGGGAAAGUGGAGGAUCUUCGGACUUCACGCUAUUAGAUGGGCCUGCGUAAGAUUAGCUAGUUGGUGAGGUAAUGGCUCACCAAGGCAACGAUCUUUAGCUGGUUUGAGAGGAUGAUCAGCCACACUGGGACUGAGACACGGCCCAGACUCCUACGGGAGGCAGCAGUGGGGAAUAUUGCACAAUGGGCGCAAGCCUGAUGCAGCCAUACCGCGUGUGUGAAGAAGGCUCUAGGGUUGUAAAGCACUUUCAGUAGGGAGGAAAGGUUAUAGUUUAAUACGCUAUAGCUGUGACGUUACCUACAGAAGAAGGACCGGCUAACUCCGUGCCAGCAGCCGCGGUAAUACGGAGGGUCCGAGCGUUAAUCGGAAUUACUGGGCGUAAAGCGUACGUAGGUGGUUUGUUAAGUUGGAUGUGAAAGCCCAGGGCUCAACCUUGGAACUGCAUUCAAAACUGAUGAACUAGAGUAUGGUAGAGGUAAGUGGAAUUUCCUGUGUAGCGGUGAAAUGCGUAGAGAUGGGAAGGAACAUCAGUGGCGAAAGGCGACUUACUGGACCAAUACUGACACUGAGGUACGAAAGCGUGGGUAGCAAACAGGAUUAGAUACCCUGGUAGUCCACGCCGUAAACGAUGUCUACUAGCCGUUGGGGUCCUUGAGACUUUAGUGGCGCAGCUAACGCACUAAGUAGACCGCCUGGGGAGUACGGUCGCAAGAUUAAAACUCAAAUGAAUUGACGGGGGCCCGCACAAGCGGUGGAGCAUGUGGUUUAAUUCGAAGCAACGCGAAGAACCUUACCUACUCUUGACAUCCACAGAACUUCUGAGAGAUCAGUUGGUGCCUUCGGGAACUGUGAGACAGGUGCUGCAUGGCUGUCGUCAGCUCGUGUUGUGAAAUGUUGGGUUAAGUCCCGUAACGAGCGCAACCCUUGUCCUUAGUUACCAUCAUUUAGUUGGGUACUUUAAGGAGACUGCCGGUGACAAACCGGAGGAAGGCGGGGACGACGUCAAGUCAUCAUGGCCCUUACGAGUAGGGCUACACACGUGCUACAAUGGCUGGUACAAACGGUUGCAAUCUCGCGAGGGUGAGCUAAUCUGAGAAAGCCAGUCGUAGUCCGGAUCGGAGUCUGCAACUCGACUCCGUGAAGUCGGAAUCGCUAGUAAUCGUGAAUCAGAAUGUCACGGUGAAUACGUUCCCGGGCCUUGUACACACCGCCCGUCACACCAUGGGAGUGGGUUGCUCCAGAAGUAAAUAGCUUAACCUUCGGGAGGGCGUUUACCACGGAGUGAUUCAUGACUGGGGUG
Molecule: ribosomal RNA, 1460 nt
Filed under: uncultured prokaryote
Description: partial 16S ribosomal RNA
Rfam family: Bacterial small subunit ribosomal RNA
Source: RNAcentral